UACGAAGGGUGCAAGCGUUACUCGGAAUUACUGGGCGUAAAGCGUGCGUAGGUGGUUCGUUAAGUCUGAUGUGAAAGCCCUGGGCUCAACCUGGGAAUGGCAUUGGAUACUGGCGACCUAGAGUGCGGUAGAGGGUGGCGGAAUUCCCGGUGUAGCAGUGAAAUGCGUAGAUAUCGGGAGGAACAUCCGUGGCGAAGGCGGCCACCUGGACCAGCACUGACACUGAGGCGCGACAGCGUGGGGAGCAAACAGG
This 253-nucleotide ribosomal RNA is filed under the name uncultured bacterium. RNAcentral describes it as "partial 16S ribosomal RNA". It matches the Rfam family "Bacterial small subunit ribosomal RNA", at positions 524 to 776 of the family's 1533-position model. The record is from RNAcentral.